Molecule: long non-coding RNA, 743 nt
Filed under: Homo sapiens (human)
Lineage: Eukaryota; Metazoa; Chordata; Mammalia; Primates; Hominidae
Description: non-protein coding lnc-TRIM71-2:1
Source: RNAcentral
GGGUUGUUAAACUGAAUCUUGCUUAAUACUGUCCAUUAGCUCUCAUGCCGGGUCAGCAAAAUGCUUUAAUUUUUAACUGCAGAACAUGUGACUCGGUUGAGUCUUUUUGUCUUUUUUUUUUUUAAAUAAACAAUUGGGGGAAUUAAUGUGGGCAAGUUGCCUUAUGUUAGAAUGACUAAGUUAAACCUCUUAAUUUGUAUUUGUCCAAGGCAGACAUGAUAUAAGGAAUAUGCACUACCGUAGUAACUCCCCUGGCCGCAGAAACCACACUGCAAGCCUGUCCGGGGUGGGGUGCUGACUGCCAUUUGCCACUUUUAAAUGGGCACUGCCGUGGUAAUGUGAAUCCCAUCAAUGCAGUAGAUGGGUGGGGAAAUGAAGAUUUCCCCCCAAACCUUUAGGCAAAAGUGAGUUUUUGUUUGGUUGAUUUUGGGUUUUUUUCCCCCCUCCUCUUUUGGCUUUCACAUUUUAAAUCUUAAAUGUUACUAUUGCAGGCCGCAGGCAUGACAGGCAAUGAGCAGGUGAAGAACCAAUGGAAAAGUGUUCAAAAACUCCUGUGUUAGCUAACAGGCUUCUGAAUGUAUCACUGUGGUCCACAGAGAAGGCUGGAGGAGGUAGCAAGGAGAUGCUGUAUCAGCUACUACAGCCUUAAAACAAAGUUGGUGUCUCUUUGGACUUUAAAAUUGUUCCUAUGCAGCUUAUUUUAUUUUUGUUUAAUCAAAUAAACGAGGGUUUUUCCAUGGCUA